Molecule: ribosomal RNA, 2775 nt
Filed under: Pseudomonas poae
Lineage: Bacteria; Pseudomonadati; Pseudomonadota; Gammaproteobacteria; Pseudomonadales; Pseudomonadaceae
Description: bacterial LSU rRNA
Rfam family: Bacterial large subunit ribosomal RNA
Source: RNAcentral
AGCGCAUACGGUGGAUGCCUUGGCAGUCAGAGGCGAUGAAAGACGUGGUAGCCUGCGAAAAGCUUCGGGGAGUCGGCAAACAGACUUUGAUCCGGAGAUGUCUGAAUGGGGGAACCCAGCCAUCAUAAGAUGGUUAUCUUACGCUGAAUACAUAGGCGUAAGAGGCGAACCAGGGGAACUGAAACAUCUAAGUACCCUGAGGAAAAGAAAUCAACCGAGAUUCCCUUAGUAGUGGCGAGCGAACGGGGACUAGCCCUUAAGUGGCUUUGAGAUUAGCGGAACGCUCUGGAAAGUGCGGCCAUAGUGGGUGAUAGCCCUGUACGCGAAAAUCUCUUAGUCAUGAAAUCGAGUAGGACGGAGCACGAGAAACUUUGUCUGAAUAUGGGGGGACCAUCCUCCAAGGCUAAAUACUACUGACUGACCGAUAGUGAACUAGUACCGUGAGGGAAAGGCGAAAAGAACCCCGGAGAGGGGAGUGAAAUAGAUCCUGAAACCGUAUGCGUACAAGCAGUGGGAGCCUACUUUGUUAGGUGACUGCGUACCUUUUGUAUAAUGGGUCAGCGACUUAUUUUCAGUGGCGAGCUUAACCGAAUAGGGGAGGCGUAGCGAAAGCGAGUCUUAAUAGGGCGUCUAGUCGCUGGGAAUAGACCCGAAACCGGGCGAUCUAUCCAUGGGCAGGUUGAAGGUUGGGUAACACUAACUGGAGGACCGAACCGACUACCGUUGAAAAGUUAGCGGAUGACCUGUGGAUCGGAGUGAAAGGCUAAUCAAGCUCGGAGAUAGCUGGUUCUCCUCGAAAGCUAUUUAGGUAGCGCCUCAUGUAUCACUGUAGGGGGUAGAGCACUGUUUCGGCUAGGGGGUCAUCCCGACUUACCAAACCGAUGCAAACUCCGAAUACCUACAAGUGCCGAGCAUGGGAGACACACGGCGGGUGCUAACGUCCGUCGUGAAAAGGGAAACAACCCAGACCGUCAGCUAAGGUCCCAAAGUUAUGGUUAAGUGGGAAACGAUGUGGGAAGGCUUAGACAGCUAGGAGGUUGGCUUAGAAGCAGCCACCCUUUAAAGAAAGCGUAAUAGCUCACUAGUCGAGUCGGCCUGCGCGGAAGAUGUAACGGGGCUCAAACCAUACACCGAAGCUACGGGUAUCACGUAAGUGAUGCGGUAGAGGAGCGUUCUGUAAGCCUGUGAAGGUGAGUUGAGAAGCUUGCUGGAGGUAUCAGAAGUGCGAAUGCUGACAUGAGUAACGACAAUGGGUGUGAAAAACACCCACGCCGAAAGACCAAGGUUUCCUGCGCAACGUUAAUCGACGCAGGGUUAGUCGGUCCCUAAGGCGAGGCUGAAAAGCGUAGUCGAUGGAAAACAGGUUAAUAUUCCUGUACUUCUGGUUAUUGCGAUGGAGGGACGGAGAAGGCUAGGCCAGCUUGGCGUUGGUUGUCCAAGUUUAAGGUGGUAGGCUGAGAUCUUAGGUAAAUCCGGGAUCUUAAGGCCGAGAGCUGAUGACGAGUGUUCUUUUAGAACACGAAGUGGUUGAUGCCAUGCUUCCAAGAAAAGCUUCUAAGCUUCAGGUAACCAGGAACCGUACCCCAAACCGACACAGGUGGUUGGGUAGAGAAUACCAAGGCGCUUGAGAGAACUCGGGUGAAGGAACUAGGCAAAAUGGCACCGUAACUUCGGGAGAAGGUGCGCCGGUGAGGGUGAAGGACUUGCUCCGUAAGCUCAUGCCGGUCGAAGAUACCAGGCCGCUGCGACUGUUUAUUAAAAACACAGCACUCUGCAAACACGAAAGUGGACGUAUAGGGUGUGACGCCUGCCCGGUGCCGGAAGGUUAAUUGAUGGGGUUAGCUAACGCGAAGCUCUUGAUCGAAGCCCCGGUAAACGGCGGCCGUAACUAUAACGGUCCUAAGGUAGCGAAAUUCCUUGUCGGGUAAGUUCCGACCUGCACGAAUGGCGUAACGAUGGCGGCGCUGUCUCCACCCGAGACUCAGUGAAAUUGAAAUCGCUGUGAAGAUGCAGUGUAUCCGCGGCUAGACGGAAAGACCCCGUGAACCUUUACUAUAGCUUUGCACUGGACUUUGAAUUUGCUUGUGUAGGAUAGGUGGGAGGCUUUGAAGCGUGGACGCCAGUCUGCGUGGAGCCAACCUUGAAAUACCACCCUGGCAACUUUGAGGUUCUAACUCAGGUCCGUUAUCCGGAUCGAGGACAGUGUAUGGUGGGUAGUUUGACUGGGGCGGUCUCCUCCUAAAGAGUAACGGAGGAGUACGAAGGUGCGCUCAGACCGGUCGGAAAUCGGUCGUAGAGUAUAAAGGCAAAAGCGCGCUUGACUGCGAGACAGACACGUCGAGCAGGUACGAAAGUAGGUCUUAGUGAUCCGGUGGUUCUGUAUGGAAGGGCCAUCGCUCAACGGAUAAAAGGUACUCCGGGGAUAACAGGCUGAUACCGCCCAAGAGUUCAUAUCGACGGCGGUGUUUGGCACCUCGAUGUCGGCUCAUCACAUCCUGGGGCUGAAGCCGGUCCCAAGGGUAUGGCUGUUCGCCAUUUAAAGUGGUACGCGAGCUGGGUUUAGAACGUCGUGAGACAGUUCGGUCCCUAUCUGCCGUGGACGUUUGAGAUUUGAGAGGGGCUGCUCCUAGUACGAGAGGACCGGAGUGGACGAACCUCUGGUGUUCCGGUUGUCACGCCAGUGGCAUUGCCGGGUAGCUAUGUUCGGAAUAGAUAACCGCUGAAAGCAUCUAAGCGGGAAACUAGCCUCAAGAUGAGAUCUCACUGGAACCUUGA